CCGUGCCCGAGAGACUGGGAUAACACCUGGAAACAGAUGCUAAUACCGGAUAACAACACUAGACGCAUGUCUAGAGUUUAAAAGAUGGUUCUGCUAUCACUCUUGGAUGGACCUGCGGUGCAUUAGCUAGUUGGUAAGGUAACGGCUUACCAAGGCAAUGAUGCAUAGCCGAGUUGAGAGACUGAUCGGCCACAUUGGGACUGAGACACGGCCCAA
RNAcentral lists this ribosomal RNA (216 nucleotides) under uncultured bacterium. Its description in RNAcentral is "partial 16S ribosomal RNA". It matches the Rfam family "Bacterial small subunit ribosomal RNA", at positions 125 to 334 of the family's 1533-position model. The record is from RNAcentral.